CCUGUGUUCUCAGCCCACUGCCAGGGGAGGGUGUUCCCUCAGGCCUCCACAGAGCUUGAGGUGCCAAGGGCACCUUCUUUGUAUCAGACCAAGUUUUCACUGUUUUUUUUCUCCUUGUUAAAAAUGUUAGUGCUUUUUAUAUUUAAUUUUUUUAGCUGAUUUUUCUUUCCCAUUUGAGGUCUCUUGAUAACUGCCUGAUUACUAUUUCACGUGGCAGAUAGCUAUCUUCAUUUUCAGACAAUCUCAGCAGAUUUUAAGCAAACACCCUCUCAGUACUGGAUGUUUUGUUCACACAUAUUGCUCAUGUAUUUCUAUCAUAGCAGCUGAUGUCCAGGAUUUUUUGCCACCUUGUACUCUGUGUAGCUUUCCCCCAUUGUUUGGAGCUGUAUCUUGGGGUACAAGGUACGUUGAUAAAGGAAGAGACAAAUACCACAGAAAAAGUGUUCCUGUUUGGAGCCUUAUUUUGAAGCAGUGAACAGUGUUGCUUUAUUCCAGUUCUAGGUCUAUUGAUUGCUUUAAUUUGAUACAGAACUUUCAUUUGUUUCAGAAUUCUUCAUGUUAUUUCCUAAUGUCAGUUGCUUUCACUUCUGUAAUUAAAAAUGUAAUUUCCGUCAAGUACCACUUCAGAUUUGGUGAUUGUAUUCCCAGUCAAUUUCUUUUCUGACUCAAAAGCAGGCUGCCCAAUCUUAGAGUAAUAUUGCAGUUCUGAGGCAGCAGCUAUAGUAAGUUUUACUUGGUAAACUAAUGCUGAACUUCAUAGGUAGCUAAGUUCAAAAUAUAAGCCAGUCAGAACUCAGUAUCCACUUAACAGAGAUUUGCAUAGUAUCUUGUCCAGGCCUGACUUUUUGUCUGUGAUUUUUUUCUUACCUAUAAUUGUUUCUGAAAUGCUAAAAGAAUAGCUGAUCUGGAGCUACUGCCAGGAGAUUUUGUUAAUCAUAUCUCAAACAAAGCAUUCCUCAGAUGAUUUUGCCUCCAGGAUUCAGCUUCGAAGGCGUUCUCAGGAGGAGCUGCGGUGCUGUCACAGCACUGUUGAGUCAACAGACGUAGAGCACUUGUUUGAUGCAUGGAUGACUGAUCUUCAAUUACCACCUUUCACAAAACAAAUGAAAACAUCUGUUCUUUUAUUUAUAUGUGAGUUUUGCAAGUAGUUGUGUACAAUUUUCUUUUGUUUAUUUUUGCUGUGUGUGUUCUUUUUCCCUCCUGACUCACUGAAUCUUCAUUGUAUGGAAAGUGAAACUUUGAGCGCUGAAUGGAUUGGGUGAUUGCAUCUUUAUUCAGGUUGGUUUACAGUGUGGUGGCUGGUUUUUUUUUUUGUACCUAAAAAAUUAUUAUCCCUUAGAAGAUAGCUAAACACGGAGUUUUAAAUUAAAUUCUAUCCCAAAGAUAUGGCAUUAAGAUAAUAGCAAGAAACUUAAGGCUCGCUUGAAAAAACACCUCACCAACGUUAAGAUAGAAGAAUAGUUUACAAGCAGUAAAAACUACAACCAAAUGAAAAAAAUCACUAGCAUAACUACAAAUUGUCAACAAGAGUGAGACUAUAAUAGUAUGAUUAUUUAUUAGCCUAUGUUUGGAGCAGACUCAGUUGUUCUGCUUUGGGAAAGAAUUCAGGCUUAUGAACACAAAGGCUUCCAAAGUGCAGGGAAGUGUUUCCCUGCAAAGAGUUAGUAAAUCUUCACAAAUAUAAAAUUACUCAGUCCCUGCAUUCUUUUCUGGCAUUUUCUGCUGGACUGCUUGGCUUUGUUAUACUGGCUCUCCUAGAUCUCUGAAUAGUCACAUAGAGACUGUGUAUAAUUUUAGAAGUCUUGAGAAUUGAAAUCAGAGCCCCUCAGCUGUAAAAAGGAUCUGAGAGUUAGAUCACAGAAUGGCUUGGGUUGGAAGGGACCUUAAAGCUCAUCUAGUUCCAACCCCCCUGCCAUGGGCAGGGGCACUUUUCACCAGAGCCCCUGAGUGCUGCAGCAGUACAAAUGGUUCUGUGCCCCUACAUUGAGUCUCUGCUUUUGAGUAUUGCUGAAUAACUCCAUUGAACUGCACUGUAAAUAUUGUUGUUUUCAAGCAGUUAACCAUCUUGAAAACACAUCAACAUGACUUAGUUAGUAUAACACUUGAUGAAUUUACAAAUGAAUCUUGGCAUAAGGCAAAUGCGUUUUAACGCUGCGGUUUGUCUGCCUGCUCCCUGCAUAUUUAUUUUCAACUUCCAGUUGAUUAGCUGCUUUGUCUUGUGUGUAGAAAUGGCCUGUUUAAUGCAGUGGGAAGUCGAGUAGAAGCCAGCAUUUGUUAAUGGAUGCUUUGAACAGGCACAGUCAGACAUUUUAAAUUAUUCUAACUAAGCAGGAAUUCUAAUUUAUUUCUAAAGAUAGAAGUACAACAACCCAAUUACCUAGUUUUCUCACAGAGUGUAAUGAGUAUAAUUAGCAUAAAAUUGGUCUAUAAAUUUAAUGGGCAAUUUCUUGUGUGGACAUUGAAAACACUAGUAAAAAUGUGGCAAGCUCUAUUAGAGUCCAUAUAGUAACUUGUUCCCAUUAGAUGCUUCCUUGACAGAAGGCAGUACUGUAAAAUAUCAAUCAAUUCUGUUCUGCACAAGGAGUUUUUAAGCUAUUGGUUCAAACAGGCAUGCCUGUAGAUUUGAAAAUUCCUUCAAUCAGAGAAUUUUUUGUGGGUUGGCAGUAGGGUUUUUUACCUUCUAAAGAUGGUAUUCUGGCUAUAAGUUCUAACUUGUAGUAUAUGUGAGAAUAUGGCCAAUUCUGUGUGUAACCUCAUAACAAUAGCUGGAUCAGUUGUUCUAAAUGUAGAAUAUACACACAGCUAACAAUAAAGAUAAUAAAAUGCUAUUUAUUUACUCUUGGAAGUGGAAGGGGUGCUGGAGUCCCACACCUGAUGCAGAGAUUCUCAAAUAAUGAUUCAGGCUGCUGCCAGCCCUUGUGCAGUUGGUUGGAUUUAACCAGCUGUGGGGCAUUUCAGAAGUUCUAGAUGAUGGAAAUCAAAGGAUGGUUUUCCCUCCCUUCUACAGCUGAUUUGUUCAUGAUGGGGAAUUCUCUAUGUAAAUGUAUUUUCAUCUAGUACAGUAAACUCAGACACAGCAAAGUUUCAGUGGCCUGCUGGGGCUAAAGUGGUGAAAAUGAAUGCUGUGAGAAAGAACACAUACUUAGAAGAAUAUGAAGUUUCUUCUGCUUUGUCUGUUGCCUAGAGAGUGAAUGAACAAAAAAUCCAACCCUGAGGCUUGAAGAUUAGGACCAAGUUCUUCAAAGUAUGUUUUCAUGAUGGAUUUUUGAUUUCACUCUAGUGCAAGCUGACAUUACUGGAAAGAGACGUAAAUGUAAAAUUCUCUAAAACAAAUUUGCUAAUGAUGAAAAUGCUUUAAUUCCUUCAGGAGUGCAUCCAUUUUAAAGGUAUUUUUAUUGCAUUAUUUUGUUAAGUACAAUGAAUAAAAUUAUAGCUGUGACUGUGAAAAUAGCAAGUUAUUUCUUGUGCUUUAGAGCAGCAACUCUCUUAGGGAUUUAUGCCCUACCACACCUUUCCCUGUCUGAUAAUUUCAUAGAGUGUACUUGCCUGCCUUCCUCUUUUGCCUUAUCACUGAGCAAAUGAAAUAGUUUGCAGGUCCUGGGCUGCUUUGGAGAGCUGGUGGGCCACUGUGUGUUCUCUGUGACUAGCAGCUGCCAAACAAGCUGGGCAGUGUGCUCAAUUUACUUGGUUGUAGGGCCAUUAAAAGAUGUAUCUUUACAUUUCUAGGAUUUAAAUCAGGGCAAUGUAAAUUAUUUUAUCAAAAUAUAUUAGCUUGUAAUUAACAAUUCUGUUCCAGGUGAAACCCUAAGAAUGUUAAUCCUAUGAGAUUACUAACUUUGAUUUAUUAAAGAAGUAGUAUUUAAAGUAGGUAUUCUAAAAAAUGGGGUUUUUUUAACUUCCUGAACUCAAUGUGAACCCCACAGCAAGAGGAGAAAAGCAUGAAGCAGUCCAUUGCUGGCCUCCCUCAAACUGAGCUGUACUCUGCUAAAAUAGAGCUUCUUAAGGAGGAGAAGUGUUCUCAGGUCUUUUGUUCUGAGAGAGUCACAGAAAAGAUAGGUCAAAGUUUUAAAUAAAUCUCUUGGGAGAGUGUAUUCAUAUCUUACCUGGUAAAUCAGUGCAUCUUUCUUCAGCUGAAGAUUGAAGAUGUGAUUCUAUAAUAAGGGUGUUUUGGCAGUAGAACUUGUAAGAAGUUAAAUAUUUUGUUGGUCUGUGUAAGAAUUUAGGUGUGUUUAACUUGGAAUGUGAGAACCACCUCACUUAAUCCAGAUUAUAGGAAUAAAGUUGUUCACAGGCAGUGCAGGAAAGGGCUGAUUUUUGUGGCUGUGCUCACAGGGGUACCUGCUCCCACACCCCAGCAGUGUUUCAGGGCUGCCCUCACCUCUGCAAGCAAAAAACAAAACAAAACAAAACAAAACUGGAUGGGACUGUGUGUAUGUAACCCCAUCUGGCUGAAGGUAUCCCUGCUCUUUGCAGGGAGGUUGGACUAGAUGGUCUUUAAAGUGCCUUUAAACCUAAACCAUUCUAUGAUUCUGCAGUCUUACUAAAGUGGAAAUUAUAAUUAUUUCUCCCAUCAAAUGCUUUGUGAUUGACAAAAUAAAACCAGAUAUAAGCACAAAGCAAACCCCUGUUUCCCAAGGAGUUUCAGAAGUUAAAAAUAGAUACAUGGAUGAGUUUGGAAGUUGGCUGCAAGGUCAGGAGAAUGAAAUCUGUGUAAUUUGGAAAGGUACAGCUCUAUUAGAGGAAUGUGUGUGAUAACCAUGAAGAACUGUCUCUUUCACUGAGAACUGGAAUAGUGAAGACAAAGGAAGGAAACGAAGGAGAGAAAGAUCACUCUUAACCUAAAUGUUUAAAUUUACACUCAAAACUAAUGAGAGACAGCUUAUUACCAGCCCAAGAUUUUAAAAGCUUGGCAGCCUUGUUCAAAAAUGCACAUCAUUUAUAUUCAGAGACACUAGACUCUCUUGAUGUGAUUCCCUUGAAGAUAAGAAGGUUGCACACAGCCUGCUGAGGUCAAGUUCCCAGCAGGCACAGAGCACAUCACUGGUGCUGGUGAACUCAAUGGAAUUGCUUUUAUGUACUUUAUGUUUGAGCACAUGGUUAUACCCUGCUUUAUUUUUUUAUUUUUUUUAAACUCUGUUCUUCUCUAUUGAGGUCACAUUGACUUUCAUUCUGCUUGUGCUUUCAAUCUUUAUUUUUUACUGAGGACAUUGUAGGCUGAACAGGAAUUCCACUUUUUCAAGUGGCAUACAGAAGAGUAAUUUUCUACUUAAUUUUCUUCUCUAUCAAGUACUUUGUGGAAUACAUCUUAGUCCAUUCAGAUACAUCUUAGUUCAUUCAGAUACAGAAUGACUGAGAUUAAAAGUUACUUCUGUUUCCAGCAGCCACUGGCAGAGGCCUGAAAAGGUUUGUGCAAGCAUCACCAUCACACCUACAAACACCUGAACUGUGGCAAACUCCCAGGGAGCCAGUGUGGCAUUCCACUCCACUCUGCAUUGAGUCAUCUCUGAGUUGGGACACUUUCCUCUUUUCCUCUCUGAGCUAGGAAUAGUUCCAGGAGCAGAAGACAGUUUUAGUCUGGAUCAACUGCUGAAUUUUUCAGCUUGUAUUUUUAUCUCCCAUAUGAUGCUGAUCCUGGAGAGGAGCCUAAGUUGAACAUUCCUGCCUUUUUUUCCUGGGUCUUC
Molecule: long non-coding RNA, 5681 nt
Organism: Passer montanus (Eurasian tree sparrow)
Lineage: Eukaryota; Metazoa; Chordata; Aves; Passeriformes; Passeridae
Exons: 4
Source: RefSeq, a predicted model, not a curated record